This 405-nucleotide unclassified non-coding RNA is filed under the name soil metagenome. RNAcentral's name for it is "partial contains 5.8S ribosomal RNA, internal transcribed spacer 2, and large subunit ribosomal RNA". The stretch from base 1 to 120 matches the Rfam family "5.8S ribosomal RNA", at positions 35 to 154 of the family's 154-position model. The record is from RNAcentral.
GAUGAAGAACGCAGCGAAAUGCGAUAAGUAAUGUGAAUUGCAGAAUUCAGUGAAUCAUCGAAUCUUUGAACGCACAUUGCGCCCGCCAGUAUUCUGGCGGGCAUGCCUGUUCGAGCGUCAUUUCAACCCUCAAGUCCCCUGUGGACUUGGCGUUGGGGACCGGCGACGUCACCCCCCCUCCUGCUCCCGCUGUUCUGCAGUGGGCGUUUCUGGGGGGGGGGCGAGUCGCCGCCCCCUAAAUGAAUUGGCGGCCUCGUCGCGGCCCUCCUCUGCGUAGUAGCACACACCUCGCAACAGGAGCCCGGCGCAUGGCCACUGCCGUAAAACCCCCCAACUUUUUGACAGAGUUGACCUCGAAUCAGGUAGGAAUACCCGCUGAACUUAAGCAUAUCAAUAAGCGGAGGA